UUUUUUUUUUUUUUUUUUUUUUUUUGCCUACACAAAUAUAACAUACAAGUAUUACCCCAUUGUGUAAGUGUUUAUUCAUUUUGUUAUUUAAUCCCAUUUUUUAAGAAAUUGAUACUUGGUCCCCUAGCUGUUUAGGCUUACACAUUAGACAAACUAUUGAUUUUUCUUUUUUCUCGUAAAGUCUUUCCUAUUUUUAUCAUUACUAUAUAAAAAGUAUGAUAAGUUUUGGCAAUAGAGAGUAUAGGAGUGUAAGCAUAUUUCUAUCUCAGUUUUUGUUAUACCUAAAUUAUGCUCAUUUUUUAAAAUUAGAGUUAUUGCAUUUCAAUCAUGACACUAAUAAGAAAAAUGAAAUGUUUCAAUAAAUUACAUCUAAAAAAUGUUGGUUAUUGAAAUUAAAAACUGCUCAUUUACAACUAUAUUCAUCAAUCGUUUCCCUUAUCUCCAAUUAUUGGAUGUGUUAAAAUUUUCUCCAAUUAUUAUAUUGUUAUGUGUGAUAAUUAAAGUUAACUGCAUUUUAUAUGCAUAUUGUUUUAGAAAAAAAAAAUCAUGAUUAAUAAGAAGACAAAAAGUUAUAAAUAGUUCAUAAGAAAAAAAAAGCUUAAAUUGAUGAUUAAAUUCACUAUAUUAUGUCAUAUUGUUUAAGAAAACUCCAAAAAAAUAUCGAUGAUAUCGAUAAUUAUAAAAAAUAUAACAAAAAAGGUUUACAACUAUUGAAAUUGAUAAAAAUUUGUCAUAUCCAAAUUAGAAUGUUUUAAUGUGUGUUUUGCUUAGAUUUUGUUGUGUGCACUCGUUUGACACAACAAUUAUUUUAUGACUUGAUUUUGAGUUUUUUCACCGUUUUAAUACUUGCAAAACACGUGUAAGUGACUGGCGACAACGUUAGACAUCUGUCUUUUCUAUAUCAUUGGAACCUAUAAAUGCUGUAUAACAAAAUUCUUUAAAGAUUCUUUCUGUAGUUUGAUCAAAAGCGUUUAGAUUGUCUAUGUAUGAAUACAAAUGAAUAGAAACAAACAUUGCAACCAAAAGACUUUUUAGAGAAUCUUUUAUUCGCAAGCUUCAUAUCACUUGCAAACAGUGGUGAUAGCAAGGGGGGUCAAUUGACUCCACUUCACUUUGGGAAAAUUAGUUUUUAGGUUUAGGAAAUUUAGAAAAUUUUAAAGUUGUAUAUUAGUUGACCCCACUAAAUUGUACUAAAUUCUCUUACUCUCACCAAUAUUAUAAAAUGAAAAUAUGAAAGUUAUGGAAAUGCUAUUAGCUUGAAAGUUACACAUUAUUGUGAACCACUAAUUUUUAUAUGCAUAUUGCUUCUAUUUUCUCAACGCUAGUUUUGUAGGUAUAUAUCUCCACCCCCAAUUUUUUAGCACACAAAUCUUUAAAAUCUCAAGUGAUAGAAAGUGAUGAUUAAGAGAAUUUUAUGUGUCUGUAACAUUCAAAGUUAUGUUUAGCACAAGAAUUCAUAUUAAAACAAUCAAUGAUUUGACUAAAAAUUUACUAUAGUUUAGCAAAUCUUAUCUUACUAUAGAAAAAGUAGGAGUUUACUUAUCUAAAGGUGUAUGGUCCUCUAUGCAUUAUGGGGGUAUUGUGUUAUCUUAGGGGCAAAAUAAUCUUUUCACUUGAGCCUCGUCGAAAAAAUUAUACAUGUCUCCGCCUACUGUCUCUCUUCUCUCACUUUUUUUGGCUAUGUUCAAGAAAUCUUCCUCACAAUUUUCCUAGGUUUUGCAUAGAAGAGCUUACUGCCAUAUUUUGGUGGUGUAUUUGAUUUACGCGAUUUGUAUGUUGUAAAGCACUAAAUCGUUUGUGAAUUACCCAAAUAACUUAGUGUAUGUUUAUUUUGGAUGGUUUAUUAACUUUAGUGUAUGUUUUGAACUUGUAUAAAUUUGUUGGACACAGUUAAAAACGAAGCAAUUAUAUAUCACUGUCAUCUCGUUUUACAAUUGACCAGAUAUAGCUAUCUAAUCCUUCAUCUCUUACAUGUCAAUUGACCACCCUGUUUUAUGUCAAUUAACUCGCAAAACAAAACUAUCCCUCUAUUAUGCUGACUUUUUUUUUUCUUUUUCAUCGUUUUCCUAUCUUCUUUUAAAUUAGUUUUCUUUUGUCAAAUUUUUAUUUUUGAGUAAAUAAAAAAUUAAUCUAUCCACCAAUUAAACAUUUUAAAAUUUUUAUUCAUCAAAGAGUUAAAUUUUUAGUGAAAUUAUAUUCUACUAUUAUUUCCUUCUAUGUAUAGAUCUUAUGUUAAUUUGUCUCUCUUUUAUGUGUUAUAAUUCAUUCUCACAUAAAAUGUAGGAUGUCCAUUCUCUAGCUUAAAAAAUUGGAAAAACAAUAUAUAAGUGUUUGUUGUAAUUAGUUAAUUAUAAAUCAAUUUCAUCCAUUAUCCACAUUAAGAAAUUAAGAAAAAUUUGACAUUGUGUAGGUUUUCAAGUUAAAAAUUCCUAAUUAUCUAAUCAAUUAAGUCCGAGUAUUUCAAUUUUUCACAAGUAUAUGUGUCAAAUAUGUAUAAUGAUAAUUUUAGUUGAUCCUACAGGAUAUAGGGUAAUUGCUAUGGAUUUUUAACUUGCACUAUUACCUUUUUUUUUAAUUUUAAAGGUCUGAUUUUAUUGCUUUAAGCAAAAAGCCAGUGCUGGAGGGAGGCAUAGACCGUACCUCCCAAGAGGACGCUGCAUGUAUCAAAACUAGGGUAGACCUAGCAUUUUCAAAGGGAAAGGAGCCCAAGCCUGUCUAACCUAAAUGCCCCUCAGGCUUGAGUAGGGAGCUCCGAAAGAUGAUGAUAGGUUCUGUCAUAGCCUUCGUCACAGCCAAUAUUAGAUAAGCUAUCAGCCACUUGAUUACCCUCUCGGAAGCAAUGAGAGAUGCUAGUGACAUGGGGCAGCAGCUGAAGGAGCGACUGGACUUCCAUAUCAAUACUCCACGGGCAUCGAAUUGCUUGCUGCACUAUCUGAACGAGUACCAGAGAGUCCACCUCCACGUGCACUCCCACAUAGCCACAAGAGAUGCACAAGUUAACCCCAAAGAGAAGAGCCCUUGCCUCAGCCUGGAUGCUAGUGCAGCUCCCAACAAAUGUGGAAAAAGCGAGCAGGAGCUUACCCUCGCCAUCACGUAAAACACCACCACCUCCCGGCCGUCCCGGAUUGCCCCUGGAACUGCCAUCCGUGUUGAGUUUAAGCUCCCCCAUUAUAGGCCUCAACCACUAUUACCUAAACAAUCAAGAAUUUAAGUAAAAGUAAUGCUAGCAAAAUGGCAAGGUUCAAAUUAGUAGAAGGAAUUUCCUUGGAUUUUUGAAUCCCUUGUUGCUCAAGAUAAGAAAUUAACUUGGUUGAUUUAGGCUGUUAAUGUGUAACACAUCAAAGAUAUACUGCCAAUUUUAUUCAAAUAAUGCUUUCGCCAUUACCCAAACAUACUCAUAGCAAGUUUAUGAUGAGUUAACUUGAUACAAGUUCAUUAAGAUAUAUGAAGUAGUAAAAUCAAAUCUACCUAAAUACAUUUCCUACUUUCAUGAAUAUGAUUUUUAGGGUUUGAGAAUCUUGGUCUACACUUGUAUGGCAACAUUUAAUGUACAAUAAAUGAUUGGAUAAUUCAUAGUUGGUGAUCAAACAACUACAAUAUAAAGUGUGUGUGUGUGUGUGUAUGAACUAACAAGUUUCAUGAAAUAACCAAGAUCAACACAAGUUAGCACAUAUAUAAAAACUACAAGUUCACCUUUACCCUAAGAGCAAAUAGUUUAGGUAGACAUGAAAUCUAACAUGAAUAAGCUCAUGACACAUUUGCAAUAGAGCAUGAAUAAACACAAGGAGAUAGGAAGUAAAAUUUGAAGAAAUCUUAUUCCUAUGGAUGAAUCAAGCUUCUCAAACUCCACUUUUACAAUUGUUUACUUCUAGUUCUUAAAACAAUAGUGUUUCCUCCUAACUAAAAAUACCUCACCUUUUGCUUUCUACCACUACUUCUACUAACUAAAGCUCUCUUCUCUCUAACUCUUUUAAUCUUGAAAUACAAUGUGUAUAUAUAUAGAAGUUAGAAUGAACGAAAGUUUUCAAUGAAAUAACAUAAAGCUUCUUCACAAACUUUUAGGGUUUCUUGGGCAAUUACAAUUGAAAUUUCAGCUGAGAAAUGAGUUGUAAAAGUUCUGAAAAAAUAAAGUAAGUAGCUAUGCAAGUUGCACACCCACCUUAAGAAUAUGUGGGGUCAAUAUGCGUGGGUGGGUUGCAUAUUACAUAUCCUCGUGUUUUUGCUUCUCCUAUAUCUUCUUUGUCUUUUUCUGCUCAGCACAAUACCGAGGGGAAGGGGGUGAAUACUCGCAUUUUGGUUGGCAUUUUCUACCCAAAAUGCUGAUCUUGUUUGUUUUGUUAUUUCCAAAGCAUCUUCAAAUCGUGUCUAAUGUUAUUGCAUGAAUUCCACUUGAUCCAAAGUAACCAUGAAUUACCAAAUCCUACAAAUGUAAAAAGUUUUGCACAUUAAACUGCUUAAAUGCAAGUUUUGGUUAUAAAAUGGAACUUAUGUAAAAAUAGUAUCUUAAAAGAGCAAUUUUCAUCCUUAAACCUUAAAAACAUUCCAAAACUAAAUAAACACAUUUAGGAACAUGUAAAUAAAAUACUUAUCAAAAUUUAUUAUUUACUUUCAUUAUAAUUAGACAAUUCAAAAUCAAACACUCAUUUUUUACAAUCACAUUCACGUGCUCAUUAUUUGGCCAUCCUUUUCUUCUUUUUCCUCUAAUGGAUUUUUCUUACUAGGAUCUUUUCUCUACCUUUUUUUCAAAAAAUUGAUCUUUUUUAAUUUUUUUUAAUAGGGAAAGGAUAGGAUUUAAGAAGUGGGAGCGAAGAAGGAUAUUUAAAUAGUAAAAUAUCCCAAAAAAUUGAACUGCAAAGAACUGUAUAUAUGUAUAUAUUUUUAUGAACCGGGUUAUUUUAUUUGAUAACAAUUAAGGAGGGCAUACAUGGAAAUCAAAGCCAAAACUAGCGCUAUCUUAACCUACGCCCUAACUCUACGUAAACUUGGAACAUCCAUCUGAUCAAGAGCGACGUCACCUCUCACCAAGCGAGGCAAAUCACGCAACGAGCCAUAUGUUAGAGUUUUUUCCUGAGUCCGUACCAAUGUUGGCAAGGCGGUCAGCCGGUUUAUUUGCUUCACGAAAGCAGUGUGAUACCUUUCUAACAAACCUACUGACUUUUAACAUGUCCUGUAAGUCCCCUUGCAAACGCCAUGGCCAUCGAGUCUUCCCUAAAAUGAUCUGAACCAGAACUAAAGAGUCAGAUUCUAAGUGUAAAUCGGAAUACCCACGCGCAAUAGCUAGCCUAACACCAAAAAGCAACGCCUUCAAUUCAGCCUGCAAACUUGUCAUCUCCUCAAAGAAGCACGAAUACCCCAAAAGAAACCUUUCUUCCGAACACCGAAACACCCCCCACCUCCACUCACUCAUGGAUUUCCCCAAGAGCAGCCAUCUGAGUUCAGCUUGACCACCGAGUGAUCUAGGCAGCUCCACCAAACCACCAAGGUACUAGAAAUCCCGUGCAAACCAGCCACUAUACCGUAAAAACCUGGCCAAUCCUGACCAGAGGUUCUGAAGCCCUGAAACUUAAGGAGGAAAAUGCCCCCGAGAUCCCCAAAAAUUGCUGCACAAACCUAAGCCACGGGCCGCAGAUGGCCAUCAAAUACAAACGAGUUCCGCAUCUUCCACAAAUUCCAACAAAUUAAAGACGGCAAUAAACAGAGUAGAUACUGAAAAUAUCGGUUCCGAGUAGGCAUCAACCACUAGCUAACCAACUUGUGGCGUAGCAUAGAGGAAUCCCGAAACCCUCCAAUCACCCCUUCGAAAUAUCCCCAAAUCCUCUUUGCCGCCACCCUGGUACAGAAAAUGUGAUCAGUAGACUCUUGACAUGGAUGUAGACAACAAAAACAACGAGAGGGACUGAAUAUACCAAGUUUAUGCAACCUGUCCAUCACCGGCAAUUGGGAUCCUAUCAACCUUAACAUGAAAAAAGAAAUCUUUAUCGGCAGCCCUUGAAGCCAGGGUCGUGAGUAGAGCCAAGAGUUGUUGCCACCCUCUCGAGCGAUCCGGUAGGCUGAUGCUAACAAGAAGGCACCGGAGGUACUAGGAGCCAAACCAUGGUAUCCGCUUGGUCCAGCUAAGGAGGCACAACUCCCAUAAUCCUCCCCACCCAUCCUCCAGGUGCUACCUCGCUCAACCACUAUACAUUCCAGCGACCCUGUUCAACAAAAUCGGAAACGUUACACUCCUGAAAAGUAUCUACAUGACGACAUAAUGGACCCGUCCCCAACCAAUUGUCAUGCCAGAAGCUAACACCACCCUUAGCCAAAACCCAGUGGAUGUGUUGCUCCACUACACCCUGGAUAGCCACCAUUCUUUUCCAAGUCCAAGAAUCCUCGGGAGAAGUAUCAGCAAAGCAAGGAUGAUGGUUGGAGCAAUAUUUAAGGUUCAUGAACUCAGCCCACAACAAUUGCCGCAACCGGAAGUGCCACCAUAGUCUCAUGGAGAAGGCAUCAAACACGUGCUUUAGGGAUCUCAAACCAGCACCCCCCUGUCAUAUGAGUUGCACAACUGGUCCCACUUGAUCUAGUGGAAGCGUGGCCCAGCCUCUGAGGAGCUCCAUAGAAAAUCAGCAAAAAUGCUCUCCAUCAAACUGAAUAUCGACUUAGGAGAGGUUGAUGCAGCGAAUAUGUGAAUAGGCAUAGAGGAGAGCACACUCUUGAUUAGAAUUAAUUUACCACCAUGCGAGAGUAGCCUCCCUUUCCAUGACAACACUUUACUCGUGACUGAUUUACAAACCCUUGCAAAGUAGCAUCUCUUUCGCCGCCCUGCAUAUAGAGGACAACCCAAAUAUUUAACCGGAAACUCCUUCGACUGAAAACCAGUCAUCUCCGCAAUCAACCGUUUCCUACUCCCGGGAAAAUUGACAUGAGUCAAGACACAACUCUUUUGCUGGUUCACCUUUUGAUGAAAGAAUUGUAUAUGUAUUAUCUUCACGAUUCAGCAGGGGUGGUGAGCAUCAUUAACUGAGUGUAUGUAACUCAAAUCAAGUUUCUCAUAUUUUUUUCUUGUACUUAAUAAGUUGAACGCAUUUAUAUUAGGAAUGAUGAAUGUGAGGCCCUUAAAUUGGAGACCACGUUUUACAGUCAUUGAACGAAAUUUAAGAAUGUAUCCUAGGUUUUAAGAGCACGAAAUUCUAUUUUUAAUGUUCCAAAGGAAUGUUGAAUUAACGAUGUAUCUCCAAAUUCUCUACUUAUCCUUUUAGCGGUUGUUGGAAUUUUAGCGUAACUUAAUUAAUUUUUUUGGAUAUUCAAUUAUACCCUUAUUAAUUGACUAUCGAAGUUUCAUAUUAUACUCUCUUUAAUUUUUUAUGAUGAUUGUUGUCAUCUUAGUUUUAUUAAUCUAAUUAUGCACUUAUUAAAUUGAUGAUUGAUGUUUCAUAUUUUGCUCUUUUUAGUUUUUAAUUUAUUAUGAUGAUUAAAAUUCAUUACAUCAUAACUAUUGAUUUAAAGGAAAAUAAUUGUUGAUGACAAGAUAAAAUGUUAAGAGACACUAAGCAGUAUCUGGUCUUUGUUUUCUAUUGGUCCAAAAUACCAUUCUUCCUAAUAAUUAGAUUUAUUGCAUUUCAAUAAUAGUAAUUACUGUAGUAGUAAUGAAAAAACUAUAACCUUAAUUAAAUUUGAAUUAUGAAGAUAAUAAACAAAAUAUAAUACUCCAAAUCAAUGUGUCUUUUUGCAUUCUAUUUUCAGUUUUUAUUUUCGUUAAAAAUUCUGGAUUAGUCAUAGCUUAAUUAAAUUUUUAAAUCUUCAAAAAUAUAUCAAAAGAAGGUGUUCUUAGGAUAAUAGAAUCUUUGUCAUUUAUGCUUUAUGCUAGAUUUUGUCCAAAAAAUUAGAAGAUGAAAAAAAUAAAAGAAACACAAUAAAAUUUCAGCUCCCAAAAAAUGAAUAGUUAGACAGAAAAAAUUGAUAUGUGGUGGAUGAUUUAAGCUCCAUUGUUAAUAGAAAUAGCAUACAAAAUAUACAAAGAGUUCUCAUUUUUUCCAAAAAUGGUGCAUAUAACUUCAUAUUGAGGAAGCAUUACUAUAUAAAAAGUAGUAUGAGUUUUGGUACUUUAGAAUGUAAAUGUAUGCAUUAUUGUGAUCUUAAUUUUUGUUAUUUCAAUUAUGCCCUUAUUAAUUGAUGAUUGAAGUUUCAUAUUAUGCUCUUUUAAAUUUAUUGUGAUGAUUAAAAUUCAUUAUAUAAUAUCUAUUGAUUUAGGAGAAAAUAAUGGUUCAUUAUUAUUAUUAUUACUAUAUAAAAAGUAACAUGAAUUUGGCACUUUGGAGUGUAAGUGUAAGCAUUAUUGUGAUCUUAGCUUUUAUUAAUCCAAUUAUGCCCUUAUAAAUUAAUGAUUGAAAUUUUAUAAUAUGCACAUUUUAGUUUUUAAUUUAUUAUGAUGAUUAAAAUUCAUUAUGCCAUAGCUGUUGAUUGAAGGCAAAAUAAUAGUUGAUGACAAGAUAAAAUGUUAAGCAUUAGAGACUAAAUAGGAUCUGGUUAAACUCUGUCAAAAUUUUCUAAAAAUAAAAUAAAAUAAGAUUUUGUUUAAAAAAAAAAAGGAUCUGGUCUUUAUUUUCUACUUGCCCAAAAUGCCUUUCUUCCUCAUAAUUUGAUUUAUUGCAUUUCAAUAAUAGCAAUAACUAUAGCAGUUUCAAAAAAAGAUUGUAACCUUAAUUAAAUUUGAAUUAUUAAGAUAAUAAACAAAAUAUACACUCCAAACUAAUGUGUCGCUUUGCAUUCUAUUUUCACUUUUUCAUUUCCAUUAUAAAUUCUUAAUUAGUCACAGCCUAGUUAAAUUUUCAAAUCUUCAAAAAUAUUACUAUUGAUUUCUUAAAAUAACAGAAUCUUUGUCGGUUGUGCUUUAUGUUGGAUUCUAUCCAAAAAAAUUCAAAAAGAAAAGAAAAGAAAAAGUAAUUAUCUCUACCAAUAAAAUUUUAAUUAUCACGAAAUGAACAAUUAGACAGAAAAAAAUUAUAUGUGGUGGAACAUUUACACUCCAUUGUUAAUAGAAAUAGUACACCAAAUAAUACAAAGAGUUCAAUUUCAAAGAAUACAUAUCUCUUCAAUUUUCAAAAAAUAGUGCAUAUGAUUUCAUAUUGAGGAAUUUCAUCAAGCAAUUGACAAAUUCAACUUAUGUAACAUGAAAAAUAAUAAUCGUAGUGCAUGCAACUGAUAUUUUUGUAAACAAUUAUUCUAUUUUAUUUUAUUUCAUUUCAUUUUUAGCCUCCAAUCCCUCCCUACACUCUUUUUCAUCCCUAAUUGUUAGGUAUAGAAUUCGAAUCCUGAACCUGACAUUAGAGAAAACGCUAAAAACUCUCUUCUGGUCAUUGGGUCAACCUCAAUGGUUGGAAAACAAUUAACAUUUGGUUAGCAUGCAAAUUCAGGUUAUCCUAACUCCAAAUAAAACAUAAAAAACUGUUCCUAUAUCUAAUUAAAAAUAAAAAAAUUUAGUUUUAUUAUCAUAAUUUAUUUGUCUUGGGAAAAAGAAAAACCAAAAGAAAUAAUUAUUAUUAUCAAUAUUGUACAUACCAAUCAAAAUAUUGAUACUUUUGUCAAAUCAUUUCAUAUUUGGUCAAAUCUUUAUUUUCUUAAAUGUUAAUUUUUCAUCUUCUUUACUUAAUUGUCCUUAAAACCGUUAUUUUAAAUUGAAAGAGACCAAAUGUAUCCUCAUAUGUUAAAAUUUCUCUAGAGACUUUAUAUGAUUUGAUACAACAUUUAGUGAACCUUUUUUUCCUUUUAAAAUAAUGGUUUUAAGGACAAUUAAUUAAAGAAGGUGAAAAAUUAAAUAAAAAAGAAAAUAGGGAGAGAGUUGGGUUGGAUGGUAAGAUGAAAGGGAUUAUAAGUAGAAGGUCCUAGAUUCAAAACCUCCUACUUAUUAAAAAAAUAAAAACAAAGUAAAAAGGAAAUAGAAAAAUAUGCAAAUAUUAAAUUUGUUUAAAAAUUUUUCACAAAAAAAAUUUAAUGUAUACAAAAUAUUAUAUUUGAUGAUAUUAUAAUCAUGUAUAAAGCACGUGACACCAGUUACAAUAAAAAAUGGCAAUAUGGUUGUGCCAACCUUUUAACUUAUGAAACCUCACUAAUUAUAUUGAUGAUAAUGAUACCGUAGACGUCUGCCAUCUCUUUAGCUUGUGAAACACAGUGUAAUCGUGCCCUCAAAAUUAUGAAACCUUUCCAUCCAUGGCAGAAAUGCUCCUCAAAAUAAUUCAACUUUAUCGGAAGAAAUUAUGGCACAGUACUUCCCUCCCUAUAAGUUGCAUCGCACUAUAUAUUAUGCCCUCUCUAUGACUUAAGAAAUAUUCCUGUCACUGCUCAUCGUGUAGAUAUGAACAACAUCAAGAAAAUAGAAAUGUGGACGUGAAGGAUUAGCAUUUUUUUUUCAUUUCAAUAAUGACUACUACCUGAUAUUGGUUUUUAAAUGCAUUUGAGCAAAGCUGAACCCAUAUGCAUCAAUGUUUGAAUUAUUUUGUAGGCCCAUCCAUAUGACCUACCUGAGACUAUCUUAUUGACAAAAUUUAGGCACAGAAAAAGGUAGUUGGUAGGGUCAAUUUCAAUUUAAAAAGAUGAGAUUGAGUUUGAAAUACAAACGAAACUUGUAAUAAAUUUGGACGUUAUCACUAUUUUUUACCUACAUUGACUUCUUUUUUUCCUUAGUGCUGCAGUUUUAGUGCUUACAUAAUUACAUGGGCAAACUCCAAUUUACCCCAUGUGGUUUAGUGUUUUUUAUAUAACCCCUUAUAGUUUUAAAAACUAUACAUAACCCUCUUAUGGUUUGGAUUAAAGUGUCAAAGUGACGGAAAUGAUCAUUCAUAAUAGAGUCAUCUAAAAUGUCAAAAAUACCCUUAUGUAAAGUUAAAAAUUAUUUAUUAACCAAGGGGGAUUAUGUAUAUAUUUUGAAAAUCAUAAGGGGGUUAUAUGGUAAAACAUUAAACUAUAAGGGGAUUAUAUGGUAAAACAUAAAAAUUAUACGAGGUUAGUGUGUCAUGUAUUUAUAAGGGUAAUUUUGAUAUUUUCAAAAGUUCCGUUACUUUGACACUUUAAUCUAAAUCAUGAAGGGAUUAUGUAUAGCUUUUGAAACCAUAGGGGGUUAUGUAAAAAACACUAAAUCACAUAGGGGUAAAAUGUAAUUUGCCCUAAUUACAUUGCACUGUGCAAUUAAAACUAACAAUUGUAGGAGCCGCAUUUCCCUCAAGUCUCAAUCAUCCUUGUAACAAUCAUCCCAUAAAAGUCUCAAUCAUCCUUGUAACAAUCAUCCCAUAAAAUUUACCGAUGUGGAUGGGAGAUAUUAACGAAUAGCUGUGCCAAUUGUAUUUGUCUAAUGAAAAUGUGAUUUGCAUAUUUUAAGUGCAUCGUGAUUGUCCAAGAAUACAUCUCCAGUUCUCACCUACAACCUUACAUGUGCAGCACGCCUCCCUAUUUCUCAACAUUGAAUUGUUCAUCCUUUGGAAUCCAGAGAAGAGUUCAUAAAAGAUCCCACUCAGGCUUCUACUCUCUGCUCCCCAAUCUCAAUCUGUCCUUACCAAAUAGUAUUUAUGGAGAAAAUUGAAGUAGUGAUGGUUAUGGCGCCAAUGCUGAGGCACUUAAUACCAGCCAUCGAGCUAGCUAAGAUACUGCUUCAAAGAGCAAAUUGUCUAGCAAUCUCAUUCCUCAUGAUGAAUUCAACAUUGGACCCCGAAGCCACGGCCAAAAUCGAGUCUCUGACUGCCUCUUGCAAAUUUGAUCGCCUUCAUUUCCGUCACCUUCCGAUGCCAGACAUCUCUCAGUGGAAUAUUCCACAUCAGGGAAUCUACCUUCAUCAACUCACAGAGUUUCACAAGUCUAAUGUACGAGAAACAGUCUCCAAAAUCAAAGGUUUUGCAGGGAUUAUUGUUGACAUGAUAAACACGCCAAUGAUGGAUAUAGCUGACGAGCUCAGUGUUCCUAGCUACAUCCUUUUCACUUGUAGUGCGGCCUGUCUUGGCGUUAUGCUCCAUUUCCAAGCGCUCGAAGAUGAGCAAACUAUAAAAACAUGUCAUUUACUCCAGAGAGAAACUAAAUUGGUCAUUCCUAGUUUUACCAACGAAGUUCCAAUUAGUGUACUCCCAAUAUUUACAACUAUGGAGGGAACUUGGUCAGGCAGGUUCUUGAAUCAUACUCGCAAUUAUAGAAGAGCAAAGGGCAUCAUUAUCAACACUUUUGCUGAUUUUGAAUCUCAUGCUAUUGAUUCUUUGUCAAUGAAACAUUCUUACGGUACAACAGGAGUGCCAACCACCUAUCCUGUGGGAUUAAUCCUGAAUAGAUCUCAAAUCCAGGCAGAAUCUACUAAAGGCCAUUUAGAAUUGAUGAAUUGGCUUGAUGAUCAGCCAGCAAAGUCGGUGCUUUUCAUCUGUUUUGGUAGUACAGGAAGUUUCAAAUUAGAUCAAGUGAAAGAAAUAGCACUGGGCCUCGGAAAAAGUGGCUAUCGGUUUAUUUGGGUUCUUAGGCGGCCCCCGGCUAUGAAAGGAGGAUUUGCAGGGGAAUUUGAGAAUCAUGGACCUCUUCUGCCAGAAGGAUUCUUGAAUCGAACAGCUUCGAUUGGAAAGGUUGUCAGCUGGGUUCCACAAUUGGCUAUUUUGUCACACCCGGCUGUGGGCGGAUUUGUCUCGCACUGUGGUUGGAAUUCAACGUUGGAGAGUAUUUGGUGUGGUGUGCCAAUUGCUACAUGGCCGUUGCUUGGAGAUCAACAAUUGAAUGCCUUCCAGUUGGUGAAAGAGUUACGAAUAGCUGUGGAAAUUAGUUUGGAUUACAACGAAGCCAAUGAGCAUCAACCAUUGGUGAAAGCAGGACAAAUAGAGAAAGGAAUAAGGGAAGUGAUGGAUGGUGAGAACGAAGUCCGGAAAAGGGUGAAAGAGCUUAGUGAGAAAAGUAGGCAGGCUAUGAAGGAAGGUGGAUCAUCUCAUGUGACCUUUGAGAAUCUCAUACAUACUAUCUGCAGCAGCCGUCCUAAGUCUGGCGUUUGAAUUGAUAAACUUGGGGAUUUGAAGGGUGAAAACUUGUGUGCUGAACUGAAAUGUUAAUUUGCUCUAUUUUGUAGAGUUACACGUGUUUGAUUAAAACUGUCAACAAACGGUAGGGGCCUGCUGAAAUCCCCACCACAGCAGGUGGAUUUCUUUGUUCCCCUAUUUCUGUUCUUGCUGUCUGAGUUUCAAUGGAAAGUUCUGGCUCUUUCCUGUUCAUAUAAUGGGAACCUGAACUUUUUCUUCUUUUUUAGCGUUCUCUUGUUUCAAAAUGUAGCGUGUUGGUUUUAAUUUCAGCGCUUGGUUUUUGUAGCUGAAGAUAAACAGUAGGUAGCAUAUGAGAAAGUAAGAUUUGGACCCUAUUCAUGUUAAUCUGGUCAAAAGCAGGUUGCACAUAUUUUAACAGGCUGUGGCACCAAUAUGGUAUUUCAUAAGUGCCCUACCGUUGGUGCCCUCCCGGUCUAAUGGUGACUUCAUGACUAGGAUUGAGUUUCAAACAUGUUAUUUAGAUCGGAUUCGAGCAAUCUGCAAAAUUAGCGAGUCGUGUUCGGGUCAAAACAGUUGACUUGUUUAAUUUUUCGACUUGCAUUCGAGUUUGACUGGUUGUCCAGAACAUAUGGGUACAAACCUGACCCGUUAUUCUACGUUCGAACCUAAUUCUCAUCCCUGACAGGGUGUCAAAUCUGUGCAAUAAUAAAUACCUGUUUAAAUAAAAUAUAAUUUCUGUGGAUAGUGAUAAGUAGGGUCAAAUCCACAGUGACUAGGAUAAUUUAUUUCUUUUAGAGUCCGAAAUAUGGGGGGUUUUUGAAAAUGAGAGUAACUAAAUUACUUGGAAUAAAUUAAAAUAAAAUAAAACAACUACAACUCAAAUAACUAAUUAUCACAAUAAAAAUAAUAAUGGACGAACUCUAGCCAAGAGACAACUUCGGAGAUGGUUCACUUAAUUCGAUCACAGAUGCAAGGAUUAUUCCAGUUACUAUCUGAUAAAUUAGUUAUAGUUGUCAUACACGCAAUAAACAACCAACUUUUCCUCAAUUUGUCGAUAGCCAAGGUACGACCGUUGGCUAUUUUUCUAAUCAGGAAAUAACCUUAGGUACGACCAUAGAAGUUCAAUUCCCUAAUUGCAUGAAUAAUUAGAAGAGCCUAAUUCUAACCAAUCAACACGCUACGAGGGUCUCUUUAAGUUAGUCUGUCUAUCUCCCUAACACAAAUCCAAUCAUAUCAGUUGCCACCAGUUUAGAAUAAUUAAAUAAUUACGGAUUUAACUACCCUAAUUGGCUUCAGGUUAUUGAAUUAAUCUAGAAUCCGGACUCUGGAUAAUCGAAUAAUAAAACAAUCAUAUGAACAUAAAGCAGAAGAUAGACGAAUACCAGUGAAUAAUGGAAAUAAAUAAAAACUAAUUCGAUCUCACAAAUUUGGUAGAACCAAGUCCUCCGUUGUUCCUCGACUAGACGGGAUUUAAUUCAUCUUCAUGGAGGAAAUCCCAUGCAAAAGUGCAGAAGUAAUUAUUGAAAACAAGCUAUGUCUCCGUCCCCCCUAGAAGAAAACGGCAAAGCUAUAUAUAAAGUAAUGAAUCCGAAGGAACUAGCUAGAAGCAAAAACAAAAUGAAGCUCUCCUAUUCUAAAACAAAAAUUACUUCUUGUCUCGUGGUCCCCACGAAUAAGGAACAAGCCACAAAGACUAAUGCCUUUCUUUUCCUCUGUACGUUUGUUUCCUUAAAGCCAAAAGAAAUGACUCAAUGCUAUCUAUCUAGUGGUCCCCACCAAAUUGAGAGUCCAAAGGCCAAAGAAUUGGAGCUCUGCGAAGUCCUUGAUAUUAGUUUCCUCUUCAUAGGAAAACUUUUAAUCAGCAAAAGAGAUGCAAUCCGUCUGUGGCACCUUGUGGGCCCGGGUUUGUGAAGCUCUUUGGAGUCUCCCACGUGUGGAGCAAUUUCCUCAACAGGUCCUCUUUUUUAGUAUAUUUCAGUUCAACUUCCCUGUAGAUAGGUCCAAAUAUCAAAUAUAAGUAUAUAUUAACAAUUUAAACAAUAUUUGGCAAGGACAAAGGGGGAAAUUAACAAUAAAAUUACUAACAAUUAGCACCCUAUCAAUUCUUCUCACACUUGAACCAUGCUUGCCCUCAAGCAUGAGAAUAGCAAUUGAACACCAAAAUUUGACAAUGGCUAUUGCUCCAACUACCGUAUUGCCAAGAUACCCAGAAAGACAUAUAUCAAGCAUCACAAGUUAAGAUUCAAGAAAAACCACCCCGGUUAGCUUCCCAACCACCAACUCCUCCAAUUUAAAGCAAACUAAUUUCAGAAAAAGGAAUGGUUGCUCACAUUUAUCAGCAAAUGGUCUAACUGUUAACCAAAAUCUCGACAUUAAGUUCACAAACCGGCAAGCUGAUUUAUUCGCAUACUAACACAAUCUUUACUUUACUUUUUUUUUUCUUUUUGUUCGAGUAACAAAAGACUUAGUCUAUAGCCCUUAGAGUCUUUUGACGCGAACUCCAACAUUUGGCAAAUGGAGGAGCCUGGUUACUCAGCUCUAAUUGCUACGAGACCACGCACUCAUAGCAACUACUAUCUUUUGACGCGAAAAUCAACACUUUAGGUGAAGAUCCCCGAUUACUCAGUAGUAACUACUAGCGGAGUACAGUCAACUCUUAUUUACAACCAUAUAGCACGAUAUCUAAAAGCAACAUAAGAAUAACAGCAGCCAGCCUCAAAUUUCCAGACAUGGAGAACUAAAAUUAAUAAUUGGACCAAUUUACAUGAAAAAUGCCAACAAUCAUUCCCUAUGCCUAGAAAAAUUAACCAAAAAUUGGAAAAGUUAAGCAAUUUCUUGAUAUUCAUCAAAGAGAUGUUCCUGAAUUCAACCACAUCAACUUGAUACAUUUUUAUUAAUAAACUUGGCAAUAGCAUAAUUAGAUACAACAAUCCAGCAUCAAACUUGGUAUUCAUAUGAAGAUUGACCAUUAGAGAAAAAAAAAAGGAGAUAAAUAUCAAACUAAAACAAAGGAAAAACCUCUAGAACCUAAAAACCAAAAAUACUAGCACCCCAACUGAUAUCCCCCCCACACCUAAAUAACACAUUGCCUUCAAUGUGAUAACGUAAAAGCAGAAGGAAGGAGAGGAGCGACGGUACUUCCUUGAAGUCAUCAAAAUAGGGGCAGUUCAGGUGAAAAUUGUGGAUCAACUCGCAUCUGGAGCUGGUGCCAUUUGUGGCUUCACCAUGGACUCUAGAUAUCACUCUAAGCGACAAGAGACUACAAUUGCCAACAAAUAAUGGAAACCGAAAAUUCAAAGCAAUAACAAUUUUAAAGCCAAUCCAACGAAUAAAAUGCACAAUUCAACCACCCAGAGGACAUACAUAUACCCCAACACUUAUAGCAAUGGCAAUCAAUAAGCACUUGCGGUCCCAAAGUAGUCAAUUUCAAAAUCAAUGCAAUCCAAAGUGCAACAAGUGCUCCCAAGAACUUAGUAAAGGAAACCAAAAGGAUAAAAUGCUCCUAAACAAGGCAAUCAGAGGCAACUAACUUCAAUAAGCAAAUUUAAGCGUUACAGGCACCUCCCAAUUUAACAAGCAAAUUACCCACAAUUAGACACAAAUCACAGCAAAUUAGACAUAAUGGGACCCAAAAUCGUAACAACCACCUCCAAUUGGACAGUCAAUUACCCCAUUCAACCUGCCAAAAUCAGCAAUUAACCAAAGAAAAUGCUCAAAUCAUCUCCUGCACUAUCUAAAACAACUCAAUCAUAGGUUGGACAGAAACGACUCAAUCACAAAUGCCCAGUAGUCACAACUCGAUCAAUUGGAAAACUAAUAACACAGGAUAAACAAAUGUUAAACAAUUACCAUCGCCAGUACCACUGGUAAAUGCACAGGAAAAAAUUAAAUCAAAUGGCCAAACAAAGCCACUAAGAAAUACAAACAGCACCAGACAAUACUCCAAGAGCCUAAAUAACCGACAGUUAUAUCAGACUAGGCAAAUCAGCUGCAGGACAUAGCCCAACCCACAGGCUCCAGUAACACAGAUGCAAUCCAAACAAAUUUACUCAAUGAAAUCGCAAUCACCAAAAUCCCAUCAACAUCAGGAAAUCGAAAUCGGAGACCACAAAAUUAAUAAAGAAAAACCUGGCACCAGGGAGGUUGGGUUAUCGACGGCGGCACUGAUCUGUGCGUCGCGAGUGGUGGAGGUGGAGUGGUGCGCGAGGAAUUGGGCUAGACGAGAGGCGGCGGCAGCGUUGCUUUUGCGGCGCGCGUUGGUGGUUGUCGCGAGGCUUGGAGGCAGCGGCGCGCUUGGAGUUGCGCGCGGAGAUGUGGCGAGCCGGCGAAGAGGCGGUGGACGAAGCUUCGUGCGCGCGAGCAGCACGCGACGGCGGCAGCGAGGGAUUUCGGCCAAAGAGAGAAAAAGAAAAGAAGAAGAAGGAAGCAGGGAAGAAGAGGUAGAAAAGAGAAAGAAAGAAAGAAGAAAAAAAGAAAAAGAAAAGAAAAAAGAAAAAAAUAAAAGAAAAUAAAUUGGUUUUGGGAGUUUUUUUUUUCAAUGUUUUUCCAAUUUUUUUCCGGAUUUAAAUUUUCAAAAUUAGAAUUUUUGAAGUUUUUCUUUUCUUUUCUUUUCUUUUUUGAAUUUUUGAAUUUUCUCAAUGUGAAUUUUUUUUUAAAUUUUUUUUUUUUGGGUUUUGGGUCAUUAAACACAGCGUGGGCACACCAAGAUUAUAAAACGUCCACUGAUUUCAGGAGUCACAAACACCGCGUGGGCACGCCAAGAUUGCUGUCCUGACCACAGUGGAGAAAAACAUUAAGACCAACCACAACCUAAAUAAGAAACGACAUAAUUAAAGAAUUUAACAACGAAAAACAAUAAAAUCAAUAUUUGGGUUGCCUCCCAAAAAGUGCCUUUUUUUAAUAUCUUUGGCUAAACAUUGUUAUCUUUGCUCAGGGAGGAUAAAAUCUUGUGGCUCGUUUCAAUGUUUCAUCCUUUAUAUAGUCCUGAUAACCCUCGUAAAUAGAAUAAUUUUUGAGCACACGAGCUACGGUUUUCCUUGGACUAGUAGAUGGCGCCAAAUAAUCAAGUAGUGAUCUCAAUUCUUCAUCCACUCCUCCAUCAAGAACACUCAACGGUUCAAGAUAUUUGACCAUAGCUACUCGUAACUUAUUUCUGCCAUGAGACUCAAAAACUUCCGGUAUAACAAAAUCAAUCUCAUUAACAGAAAUCAUAGAGUAAGAAUUAGGAAAAUGCGGGUAAGGGAAUGGAGGUGGUGUCACCACAUUUGAUGAUUCUUCACUGGAUUCUUUCACUUGAAUGGGUUGCGGUUGGGGUUCCAUUUCUUCCUUUUCGACUUCUUUUUCAACUGCAUCUGUAGAUCUCUCAUUUUGAUACUUUUGCAUCUCCUCAUCACUAGUCAAGCAAAUUGCACUCUCAUUUUCUUCAAAAUCAACAAUGGUUUUCGAGGGCAAUUCUUCAAUUUGAGAAGCCAAUCGAUUUAUUUUGGAUGUCAAUAGACAUAUUUGAUCUGCCAGAUUACUCAUUGCAUCCUUCAUCAUCCCAUUUCUCAUUUGUGUCUCCUGUUGGAAUUGAUAUGUAUUAGUAGCUAUUGAUUCAACUAUUUCUUCAAGAGACAUACCUGACAUAGAUGAUGAUUCUUGAGACUCAUACUGCUGAAAAUUCAUUGGCCCUGUUGUAUAAUUAUAACUGGAGUUAUCCCACCAUCCUUGAUCAUACCCGUUUGGAUUAGGGUUAUACCACGUUUGAGACCAGGGUGAGAAAUCUCCAUAAUUAUUGAGUGGGACACUCAGAUUAUCUUAAUAUUCGGGGCACAUACCGGUUGAAUGAUCCCUGGCAUAACAAAUUUUACAGGUUGCAACAGUCAUUCUUUCUCUAAUAGAGUUUAGUGCCUCUGAAUAUGCAAACAUAGCAAAAAAACAAGCCUCAUUGCCUUCCCUGGAAACAAAAUUCAGUCUAUCACCAAAAUACGGAGUGUUAGAAGUCAUAAACUAUAUAAAAAAAAAAUAAGAGAAAAAAAAUAAAAACAAGAUGAAUUCAAAAAGAAACAAAUUAAUCUGGCACCAGUCCCCGGCAACGGCGCAAAAAAUUGACAGGGUGUCGAACCUGUGCAAUAAUAAAUACCUGUUUAAAUAAAAUAUAAUUUCUGUAGAUAGUGAUAAACAGGGUCGAAUCCACAAGGAUUUGGGAUAAUUUAUUUCUUUUAGACUCCGAAGUAUGGGGGGUUUUUGAAAAUGAGAGUAACUAAAUUACUUGGAAUAAAUUAAAAUAAAAUAAAACAACUACAACUCAAAUAACUAAUUAUCACAAUAAAAAUAAUAAUGGACGAACUCUAGCCAAGAGACAGUUUCGGAGAUGGUUCACUUAAUUCGAUCACAGAUGCAAGGAUUAUUCCAGUUACUAUCUGAUAAAUUAGUUAUAGUUGUCAUACACGCGAUAAACAACCAACUCUUCCUCAAUUUGUCGAUAGCCAAGGUACGACCGUUGACUAUUUCUCUAAUCAGGAAAUAACCCUAGGUACGACCAUAGAAGUUCAAUUCCCUAAUUGCAUGAAUAAUUAGAAGAGCCUAAUUCUAACCAAUCAACACGCUACGAGGGUCUCUUUAAGUUAGCCUGUCUAUCUUCCUGACACAAACCCAAUCAUGUCAGUUGCCACCAGUUUAGAAUAAUUAAACAAUCACAUAUUUAACUACCCUAAUUGGCUUCAGAUUAUUGAAUUAAUCUAGAAUUCGGGUCCUGGAUAAUCGAAUAAUAAAACAACCAUAUAAACAUAAAGCAGAAGAUAGACGAAUACCAGUGAAUAAUGGAAAUAAAUAAAAACUAAUUCGAUCUCACAAAUUUAGUAGAACCAAAUCCUCCGUUGUUUCUCAACUAGACGAAGGGAUUUAAUUCAUCUUCAUGGAGGAAAUCCCAUGCAAAAGUGCAGAAGUAAUUAUUGAAAACAAGCUAUGUCUUCGUCCCCCCUAGAAGAAAACGGCAAAAUUAUAUAUAAAGUAAUGAAUACGAAGGAACUAGCUAGAAGCAAAAACAAAACGAAGCUCUCCUAUUCUAAAACAAAAACUACUUCUUGUCUCGUGGUCCCCACGAAUAAGGAACAAGCCACAAAGACUAAUGCCUUUCUUCUCCUCUGUACGUUUGUUUCCUUAAAGCCAAAAGAAAUGACUCAAUGCUAUCUAUCUAGUGGUCCCCAUUGAAUUGAGAGUCCAAAGGCCAAAGAAUUGGAGCUCUGCGAAGUCCUUGAUAUUAGUUUCCUCUUCAUAGGAAAACUUCUAAUCAGCAAAAAAGAUGCAAUCCGUCUGUGGCACCUUGUGGGCCCAGGUUUGUGAAGCUCUUUGAAGUCUUCACGUGUGGAGCAAUUUUCCUCAACAGGUCCUCAUUUUUAGUAUAUUUCAGUUCAACUUCCCUGUAGAUAGGUUCAAAUACCAAAUAUAAGUAUAUAUUAACAAUUUAAACAAUAUUUGGCAAGGACAAAGGGGGAAAUUAACAAUAAAAUUACUAACAAUUAGCACCCUAUCAAUCCCCUAUAAAUUACUCAUUAUUUAAUCAUUUUUUAUUUUAUCUUGAAACCAUAGUUCACUAAUUCCCAUCCCCUAUAAAUUACUCACUAUUCUAAUCAUGUUUUAUUUUAUCUUGAAACCAUGGGCCUGUUUGGAACCUGAAUUUUUUGGGAGUUUGUCUAAAACUUUACUGUAGUGCACUGUAGAAGUUUUUAAAAAAUUUUUGUAGAAGUUUUUGUAAGGUAAAAAAUUUUUUUAUAGAAGUUUUUGUAAUGUGAAAAAAUUUGUAGAAGUUUUGGUAGGGUGAAUUUUUUGUUCCUUUUCUUUUUUUCUUUUUCUCUUUCUCUUUCUUUUUCUUUUUCUUUCUUUCAUUUUUCUUCUUCUUCUUCUUCUUCUUCUUCCCCUUACCCGUUACCUCUGCCUCCCACCUCCGCUCCUCUGCUAGCACCACCUCUUUUUUUUUUUUUUUUUCUCCUCUCCCCCCUCCCUCUCCCUCCCCCCGCCACCCCUUUCCUCCCCUCUCCCCACCACCCCCUCCUACUCCCUUCCCCGUUCCCCCCUCUGCCCGCCACACCCCUUGGGCCGCCACCCCUCCCUACUCCCUCCCCCGCCACCUCCCUAUGCCCACCAUCCCUUUCCUCCCUCUCUCCCCAACUCCCUCUGCCCUUCCCCCUCUGCCCGCCACUCCUCUCCCCACCCCUCAGCCCUUCCCCCUCAGCCCUGCAACUCUUUCUCCCCGCCCACCCCCUCAGCCCCUUCCCCCUCUGCCCCCGCCACUCCUCUCCCCCCGGACGAUUGUGCCUGCAGUUAGGAUGAGGAUAAAGCACGAGGCGCAGAUGGAGCUAUCAAAUGGGGUGAAAUUGGAAGGGGCGACGUUGGUUGUUGUGAGGCCCAUAAAUGCUAGUGGAUGUGGUGGUCGCGAAGGAGGGAGUGAGACGGAGGAGCAAAGCGGGGAUGUGGGAUUGGCGAUGGGGGCGUUCAGAGGCGAUGGAGUUUAUGGGGAGGCUGUUGAGAGGUUGCUCAAAUGCAGGUGGUGGGUUCGGUGGGGAGGAAGAAGAAAGAAGGAGAAGGGAUUUUUUUUUUUUUUUUUUGUGUUUUGGAUAUUUUAAGUGUGUAGAUAAAAAACUUUGAGAAGUUUUUUGGGGUUCCUGUAGCAAAAGUUGUUAAAAAACUAGUAGGUAAAAAACUUAGGCAAAAAACUAGCUUCCAAACAGGCCCCAUAAUUCACGGGGAAAAUUACGACACAGGUGUCUAUUCCCGCUAUGCAGGCCUUGACCCUUAGGACUGGUUUACAGCUUUUGGGCCUCUCGGCAAAAGCAACACAUCUAAGAAAGAGAGCGAUCAAUGAGUAGUUAAGUUUCUAAUCUAAUUGUUCUUGUGUCAUUUUUUUUCCUCCUUUUCCUUUUGUUCUGGUCUGUUGAGUAUGGUACAACUAGAGUUAGGUUUGAAAUAAUACACAUUCCAGUUCCGCAGCUUUCUCUCUAUGUUCAUCUUUGGCUCUUAUCCUCUUUUUCCCUAACACUAGGCUUAACCCAAAAAAUCGGAAACAAUUUCUAUCAAAAUCUUUCUCUGAAACCCUUAUCCUCCAUUCUCUUUGUCGCUUUUAACAAAAUGCAUUAUUUCACUUCUCUCACUCAGAGGAAAUGGUUUGAGCCAGAAAUAUUUGCCUCUGCUUUGCCUCUCUCACUGUCAUUAGAGGUGUCAAAAUGGGUGACUUGGGCGGGUUUGGGUUGGGUAAAAUGGGUAAUGGGUAUAAGUGAGUCAACUCAUUUAUACCCAUUUAAUUAGAUGGGUAUAAAUGGGUAAGUCAAAAAAUGAAUUGGGUAACCCAAUUACCCAUUUAUAACUCAUUUAUUUUAACUUUUUGCAAACUCAUUUAAAUUCAUUUUUGCAAACUAAGUUAUCAAUUUAUACCACUCUUUGUACCCAUCAUUAGUUUUAAAUAUUUACUUAUAAUGCUCAAUAAACUUAAUUACCAAUUUUUUUUAUUUAUACUCUAUGUCACAAAAUUACUUAUUAUUUAAUAAUUGAAUAAUACGAAUAUAAAAAUUUGAAUUAAGUACUAUAAAAAUUAAUAUCAAAACUUAAUCCAAAAAUUUUGAACCCCUAACAUUUUUUUCAUAUAUAAAUUUAAAAUUUCAUUUUAUAAAGAUAAGAAAAUAGGCUAAAAUUUAUCAUAAAUUGGUAAUGCUAAAAAAUGAGCAAGUUAACAAACUAAGAAAAAAUAAAAUAAUAAGAUAAAACCAACAAAUAAUAAUAAUAAUAAUAAUAAUAAUGUUAACAUUAUGACAAAAUGAAAAAUUUGAAAAAAAAGGUAGGGAAAAAGAAAAGACUUAGGGGGAAGAGAAUUUUAAAUGGGUUAAUUGGGUUUGAUGGGUUACCCAAUAAUACCCAUUUAAUAAAUGGGUAUUAUUGGGUAACCCAUUUAUACCCAUAUACAAAAAUUUAAGAUACCCAUACCCAUCUAUUCAUGGACGGGUAUGGGUAAAUCUAGUUAAGUGGGUUGAUUUGCCACCUCUAACUGUCGUCACCUUCCUAUUCUAGUGCAGUCAGCUCCAUUUCAGCUCACAAAAAUUAACCAUUUCUGCUUUCUGAAGAAGCCCUUUUAACACUUCACUAUUUCCCUCUAAGAGAAUAAAGUAAACAAUGCAUUCACUUCCUAAUGUCCAAACCCCAUACAAAUCAUUCCCAGCAUCACACAACGGCAAAACAGAACUACACAUUUCAAUGACCAAUAGCAGGAAGCAAGAUAUACUAUACUUACAGAGCCAGGGGAGUAACCAGAGAGUACAUCCUGAAGAGAAGAUUCUGGUUUUCGCAUGAGAAGGCGCAUAAAAGGAUCACAUGACAGGAAUAGAUUCUUAACCAACACCCCAUUAUUUGAGCUUUCUGGGACUGUCAAGCUUGUGGUGGCGUGCGUCCUGAUGUUGAAAUCAGACUCCCCUGGGAGUCCAGUUACAUAGACUUUCAACAUCACCUGCUUUUUCUUCACCACCUCUGCUUCUUGUGCCAUUGCAUCACUAUCAAUCACUAUGGUAGAUAGCAGAAAAUUUUGCAAUUUUUUCUGUGAAUGCCUGUUAGAUGGAGUGAGGGAACUUUUGAAACAUAUAUUUGCUGGCUUUUGCAGGAGAGGAUGAAUUAAGCUAUGGAUGUAAGAUAUGACGUCUGUCCAAUAACCAAACAAGCGUGAAAGAAAGCUGAACAAAUGGCUGCAUAUCUCACUUAUGCAAGAAAUUGUUCAAUUGAAUGAUUACAUAAACUGCUAUAGGAUUCCUUUAUCAGAUGAGAUACUAAGACAAAAUAAAAAGGGAUCCCUGGUUGCAGAAUUUGGUUUUUAUAGUGCUAAAAGCCAACGAAAUUUGAGAAACAAACGUUCAAAAUGGCAAAAUCGAUACUCUUUAUAAUGAACUGCUUAAGCAACGAAGGUGUGAUCUGUUAUUUUUAGUUGGCAAUAUGGGUAUAAUGUAAUCAGAUGGUGAAGAUAUAAUUUAGUGAUUGAAAGGAGUAACCAACUCAGUUAGAUGAAUUUACGUUUCAGAAGAAGUUUGAACCUUCGGCCUAGUCUUCAUAACGAAUUUUAAGAGGCCCUUCCCAACCAGCUCAACUAGAUGAAUAUAUGUUUAUUGUUUUUCAUUACUUUUUAGAGACUAUAGGUUUCCGUUAAUCCUUAUCUUCCAGAGAAAAGGAGUUCGGCAUGGCAAAUAGAAAACCUACCGAUAAGUGCCAUAGCAGCCAACAAAAGAAAAGCCAAAAGAGAUUUCCCAUGAUGAUCAAGAUACGAGCUUCAGCCUUUCAAUUAGAAAACAAUUUUUCCCCAUUGCUAGAAACUUAAUUUAUAAUCUAGGAAACUAAAAAAUCAAUCUUGAAAGCACAAUUCAAAGAUGCACAAGUGUUCUGAUAGGUAAGCUUAUUUAUUCAUCUGAAACGAGAAACAGAAAAUAUCUGCGUAGAUUCUGAUGGCAACAAAUCGAAAUCAGGAUUUACUCAUCCUUGACUUCAACUUGGCACUGUAUUAUCUGGCCUGAUAAAGUUCACAAAGAACUCCAGGUGCACAAACGCAUGAGAGCUCAAACUAGUGGAAUUAAAUUGCUAAUAGCCUGUAGACUGAGGUAUAUACUCUAUGUACAAAGGGAUGGUCAAAGGAACCUGAGAUCAUUCACGAGCAACCAAAACAACCUGUUUCCCGACAUUGCGACCACUAAACAGACCAACAAGGGCAGCAGGACCAUUUUCAAGGCCUUCUGCAAUGUCUUCUACGUAGGUGAUCUUUUUUGCUCGGAU
This 24746-nucleotide long non-coding RNA is filed under the name Coffea arabica (coffee). RNAcentral's name for it is "long non-coding RNA (CARA_LNC002372)". The record is from RNAcentral. Lineage: Eukaryota; Viridiplantae; Streptophyta; Magnoliopsida; Gentianales; Rubiaceae.